UACGGGGGGGGCAAGCGUUGUUCGGAAUUACUGGGCGUAAAGGGCUCGUAGGCGGCCAACUAAGUCGGAUGUGAAAUCCCCAGGCUUAACCUGGGAAUUGCAUCCGAUACUGGAUGGCUUGAAUCCGGGAGAGGGAUGCGGAAUUCCAGGUGUAGCGGUGAAAUGCGUAGAUAUCUGGAGGAACACCGGUGGCGAAGGCGGCUCACUGGCCCGGUACUGACGCUGAGGUGCGAAAGCGUGGGGAGCAAACAGG
RNAcentral lists this ribosomal RNA (253 nucleotides) under uncultured bacterium. Its description in RNAcentral is "partial 16S ribosomal RNA". It matches the Rfam family "Bacterial small subunit ribosomal RNA", at positions 524 to 776 of the family's 1533-position model. The record is from RNAcentral.